UCCACCCCCUAAUCCCGCUUUCCGGCUCCCUAUUUAGAUGAGCAUCCCUUAUGCAUUUAGUGAAUCCUUCCUCUGUCGAGUCUCCGUAGGUAUCCGCUUUCUGAGAAGCGGCUUGUGCUUCCCAGAAACCAAAGGGAGCCUCGCUGGUUUGCAGGCUCGCGGGUGGGUGAGCCAAGGAGCCAGGGAAGGCAGUGCAUGACUAACCAGCGUGACACAGCGCCCAUGAGCACUCGACAGCCACUCAUCACGAGCAGCAGAUUGAAGGUUCCAAUUUGUGAUUCUGGGGAGUACUAGAGAAUGUGCAGGAUUCUUGAGAAUGAGUACAAACUGAGAACAUGAUAGAAAUGAAAAAUAUAAAAGGAAGGCUCAGAAAGAAAGCUUAGAAAAGAACAAAUGGUUAAGAAGAAAAACAGAAAUGGCAAUUUUCCAAAGAGGUGGUUGGCUUACAUUUUUUAAAACUGGAAACAAUGAAAAAGAGGAGGCUUGUGUUAAACAUAAUGCACAUAAAAUUCACAAGAAGGAUAUUACACAUUUGAUGUAAUUACUCAUCCAAACAAUGAAAACGUGCAAAACUGCUACUGGCAUCAAGCCUCUGUUUGUACAGCUCAAAUAAAAUCCCUGUGCUUUUACAUCUUUUCCUACAUGAAGACUGAACUACAAUGCAAGAUAUUUAGAGUGUGUGAGGACCCGGGUUUGACUCCUGCCCCAGGCCUUGUGUUGGGAAGCGUUGGGGAAGAGGGCUGCCAAGAGAUAUGCAG
Molecule: long non-coding RNA, 758 nt
Organism: Lutra lutra (Eurasian river otter)
Lineage: Eukaryota; Metazoa; Chordata; Mammalia; Carnivora; Mustelidae
Exons: 3
Source: RefSeq, a predicted model, not a curated record